This 72-nucleotide transfer RNA is filed under the name Camelus bactrianus (Bactrian camel). It matches the Rfam family "tRNA". Rfam says of the family: Transfer RNA (tRNA) molecules are approximately 80 nucleotides in length. Their secondary structure includes four short double-helical elements and three loops (D, anti-codon, and T loops). RNAcentral also lists the same sequence under 2 other names. The record is from Rfam by way of RNAcentral. Lineage: Eukaryota; Metazoa; Chordata; Mammalia; Artiodactyla; Camelidae.
GAGGGCAGAGCUCAGUGGUAGAGCACGUGCUUAGCAUGCACAACGUCCUGGGUUGGAUCCCUAGUACCUUCA